This 830-nucleotide ribosomal RNA is filed under the name Bacillus anthracis (anthrax bacterium). RNAcentral describes it as "bacterial LSU rRNA". It matches the Rfam family "Bacterial large subunit ribosomal RNA", at positions 1 to 824 of the family's 2925-position model. The record is from RNAcentral. Lineage: Bacteria; Bacillati; Bacillota; Bacilli; Caryophanales; Bacillaceae.
UUUGGUUAAGUUAGAAAGGGCGCACGGUGGAUGCCUUGACACUAGGAGUCGAUGAAGGACGGGACUAACGCCGAUAUGCUUCGGGGAGCUGUAAGUAAGCUUUGAUCCGAAGAUUUCCGAAUGGGGAAACCCACCAUACGUAAUGGUAUGGUAUCCUUAUCUGAAUACAUAGGGUAAGGAAGACAGACCCAGGGAACUGAAACAUCUAAGUACCUGGAGGAAGAGAAAGCAAAUGCGAUUUCCUGAGUAGCGGCGAGCGAAACGGAACAUAGCCCAAACCAAGAGGCUUGCCUCUUGGGGUUGUAGGACAUUCUAUACGGAGUUACAAAGGAACGAGGUAGACGAAGCGACCUGGAAAGGUCCGUCGUAGAGGGUAACAACCCCGUAGUCGAAACUUCGUUCUCUCUUGAAUGUAUCCUGAGUACGGCGGAACACGUGAAAUUCCGUCGGAAUCUGGGAGGACCAUCUCCCAAGGCUAAAUACUCCCUAGUGAUCGAUAGUGAACCAGUACCGUGAGGGAAAGGUGAAAAGCACCCCGGAAGGGGAGUGAAAGAGAUCCUGAAACCGUGUGCCUACAAAUAGUCAGAGCCCGUUAAUGGGUGAUGGCGUGCCUUUUGUAGAAUGAACCGGCGAGUUACGAUCCCGUGCGAGGUUAAGCUGAAGAGGCGGAGCCGCAGCGAAAGCGAGUCUGAAUAGGGCGUUUAGUACGUGGUCGUAGACCCGAAACCAGGUGAUCUACCCAUGUCCAGGGUGAAGUUCAGGUAACACUGAAUGGAGGCCCGAACCCACGCACGUUGAAAAGUGCGGGGAUGAGGUGUGGGUAGCGGAGA